UGGGAGCUACUUACCCUCUUUUCGCUCUGCUGCUUAACUCGUCUUGACGCUUUGUCAGCUGGGGCUCCCUCUAGCUCGUGGAGACAAAGACAAAGGAGAGCAAGGAGUAUAACCAGAUGAUGUGAGCGAAUGGAGUUGUAUACAGUUAAGCUUCAGCUGGCACUGUCAGUUCCCGCCACACAGAGCUGAACAGCACAGCACUCAAGCGAGUGUAUCAAGAGAAGGGGCCAGCUGUAGGUUCCAGUGCUUCUCCCCCCCCCUUUGUCAGUGGCAGUGAGGGAUAAUCGAUCAAACUGAUUGGUUCUCGCAGUAGGUACCAGAAGAAGUUACAAGGAGAUGGGAUCACCAUCCUUGGCAUAAAGAAGCUGACUACAUCAGUAAAAUCAAAGCUCUCAGCAUUGAAAGAACAGCAAUUGACUGGUGGGUGGAUUGGUCAAUGCGUUCAAGGAUGAAACCACUGCACACCUAGAUAGAACUGUGAGGCUGAAAGAAAUUCAGCUGAUGAGAAAGUGCACAAAUUGACACAAGGAACACCAUCAGUAUGUAUCUGACAGGAGAGAUGUUCAUGCUGUCUGUAAUGAAGUGGUUGACUCUCUUGUUGAAUUCUUGAAUGUUUUGAAGUUAAUGCUGAUCUGUUACUCUGUAUGAAGUUUUUUGCCACUCUACAACCUUCAGUAAACCUGGAAGAAGUUCACAGGGUUCAGUCCUUCUAUCUGACAGAAGAUACUUCAGCUUGACAACGUAAGUGAUGUUGUCAUUGUCCCAUUUGGUUCAUUUUCUUAUCUGAUGCAUACAGAAACAUCACAGUACUCAUGGUACAUCUUCUGGCAGCUAAACCUCGCAGUGCUAAUGCUGAACUUUUCAUUAGCACAAGUAUCACCGUGAAGUCUACCAACAGAAACAGACUCUCAGUUGAUUCAGAAAAUGAAUACUUCUAAAUCUGUCACUAUACACCACCAUUCACUGAAUGGGAUCCUAGGGCAUCAGUGCUCCUUUGGAUUAAAAAAAUGAGAGCACAGAACCAAAGACAUGGAUGAAGCAAGAGAGCAUAUGUGGUUUAAGGGAAUGGUUUCGGAGGCUAGCAAGCAAAACUGUUCCCAACAACCAUUCACAAAUGGUGACAAUCUGAUCAUCUCAAAGCAAAAGAAAUUUUAACUUGCUUAGCAUAAUGCGAGAGGAGGCACCAUGGCAUAACUCUGUAAUCUUCUGCUCUGUGUUUGUUUUUGUACUGGCACGUAACAGUUGUAUACCUGUGUUAGGGAUGGAGUCCAUUGGGUGGUGCCACUUCAACAGCAUUCUGUCAACAGGCCAUAUUAAUUCAUUGUCCACUAGCUGCUGCCUUUACCGAUCCACUUUUCCCCUCACAAAAAUAUCGAUAUAUAAAUACUGAUAUUUUGAAAGAAAAUAUUGAUUAUUUGAAGAAAAUAUGGAUAAAAGAAAGGAAAGCAGCAUUACUGCUUCUUUCUCCUUUGCUGUGACUGAGAUUGGUCAGUUUUCCCAUUAGCAAGCAGAGAGAGACUGGCUAUUUUCCUUUGGGAAAGGAAAAGAGGAAAGCAGCUUUCAGUGCCCCCCCACCUCCUCCUCGGCAACCCUAGAAUCCUUAACAUGGGUGAGACUUGGUUUGUUUCCUCCUGCUUGGAGCUUAGAUUAUUGGGGUGUGUGGCAGAGAGGGAGGGAGAGGGAGAGAGAGAGAUCUGUACUGCUAUGCUGUGGGUAAAAUCAAUAAAAGAAAAUAUAUUUGAGGGUAUAUUCAAAGGGAAAAAUGCAGAGUUGGGGGAAAGCCACUGAAGUUCAGAGCAAACAGGACCACUCUGCAAAGAUGGAGAAUAUGCAGGCCAUUUAAAAAUCUGGUGCUAAAUCCAAAUUCAGCAAAAAUUCUCACCCAUCCCUAACCCAUGUAUACUGUUUAACUAGAGUUCAGUAUGAGUCAAUAAAUGCCUUUGACUAGACAA
Long non-coding RNA from Rhineura floridana, 1952 nucleotides. RefSeq lists it as uncharacterized. The transcript is spliced from 3 exons. NCBI's taxonomy places the organism in Eukaryota, Metazoa, Chordata, Lepidosauria, Squamata, Rhineuridae. The record is from RefSeq and is a predicted model, not a curated record.